RNAcentral lists this ribosomal RNA (253 nucleotides) under uncultured bacterium. RNAcentral's name for it is "partial 16S ribosomal RNA". It matches the Rfam family "Bacterial small subunit ribosomal RNA", at positions 524 to 776 of the family's 1533-position model. The record is from RNAcentral.
UACGUAGGGUGCGAGCGUUAAUCGGAAUUACUGGGCGUAAAGCGUGCGCAGGCGGUUAUGUAAGACAGAUGUGAAAUCCCCGGGCUCAACCUGGGAACUGCAUUUGUGACUGCAUAGCUAGAGUACGGUAGAGGGGGAUGGAAUUCCGCGUGUAGCAGUGAAAUGCGUAGAUAUGCGGAGGAACACCGAUCGCGAAGGCAAUCCCCUGGACCUGUACUGACGCUCAUGCACGAAAGCGUGGGGAGCAAACAGG